Molecule: ribosomal RNA, 119 nt
Filed under: Pteropus alecto (black flying fox)
Lineage: Eukaryota; Metazoa; Chordata; Mammalia; Chiroptera; Pteropodidae
Source: RNAcentral
GUGUAUGGCCAUGCCACCCUGAACAAGCCUGAUCCUGUUUGAUCUCGGAAACUAAGCAGAGUUGGGCCUGGUUAGUACUUGGAUGGGAGACCACCUAGGAAGACCAGGUGCCAUAGGCG